RNAcentral lists this ribosomal RNA (253 nucleotides) under uncultured bacterium. RNAcentral's name for it is "partial 16S ribosomal RNA". It matches the Rfam family "Bacterial small subunit ribosomal RNA", at positions 524 to 776 of the family's 1533-position model. The record is from RNAcentral.
GACGGAGGGUGCGAGCGUUAUUCGGAAUCAUUGGGCGUAAAGGGCGUGUAGGCGGCCAGUCAAGUCAGAUGUGAAAGCCCAGGGCUUAACCCUGGAAGGGCAUGUGAAACUGACUGGCUUGAGUCCGGGAGAGGGAAGCGGAAUUCCUGGUGUAGAGGUGAAAUUCGUAGAUAUCAGGAGGAACACCGGUGGCGAAGGCGGCUUCCUGGACCGAGACUGACGCUGAGACGCGAAAGCGUGGGGAGCAAACAGG